UCCUCGAUGGUCUAACGGUCAUGAUUUCCGCUUGUCACUCUAAUGAGAACGAGCGCGGGAGACCAGGGUUCGACUCCCUGUCGGGGAG
Molecule: non-coding RNA, 88 nt
Organism: Aspergillus lentulus
Lineage: Eukaryota; Fungi; Ascomycota; Eurotiomycetes; Eurotiales; Aspergillaceae
Source: Rfam